Molecule: RNA transcript, 1675 nt
Organism: Eucalyptus grandis
Lineage: Eukaryota; Viridiplantae; Streptophyta; Magnoliopsida; Myrtales; Myrtaceae
Gene name: calcineurin B-like protein 10
Exons: 9
Source: RefSeq, a predicted model, not a curated record
GUUGUUGCAUUAUUCGUGUGGGCACCAAGGAUGUCGGCCUCAGCUUGUCCCGCGCGACAUCAUUGGUGCCGAGCUCCCUCUUCUUCACGUUCUUGUCCGUCUCCCGCGUGGCUUUCCCCGUCGUCCGUUCUCCAUCACAAGCUACCGGAGAGCACAGCAAAAGAUCUCCCUCCCGAGACCACACCCCACCCAAUCUCUCUCUCUCUCUCUAGCUGAUGGUUCUCCGCGACCGCGAAUGGAGGCCCGAAGAACCAGCCGCGACUCUUCGAGAUCGAGCUCUCUGACGAUCGGCGAGCGGAUCUGUGCCGCUUUCAUACCGCUCGUGUCGAUAGCCGAGGUCGUGGCUUUCGCCGUCGGCAGUUGCUGCGAGAAGCGGGCGAGGCGCGACAAGAAGGGUCGCUGCUACCGGUUCGGCGACGUCAACCGCCUCGCCAGCGAGACGAGAUUUACGAGUAAUGAAGUCGAAGCGCUGUACGAGCUUUUCAAGAAAUUGAGCAGUUCAAUUAUUGACGAUGGCCUAAUUCACAAGGAAGAGCUUCAAUUGGCACUACUCAGCACUCCUAAGGGAGAGAAUCUUUUCCUAGAUCGGGUUUUUGACCUAUUUGAUGAGAAGAAAAAUGGUGUCAUAGAAUUUGAAGAAUUUGUCCAUGCUCUCAGCGUCUUCCAUCCCUAUGCCCCUGCAGAAGAGAAAAUAAGCUUUGCAUUCAGGCUGUAUGAUCUACGACAAACUGGGUUCAUUGAGCGAGAGGAAGUUAGGCAAAUGGUUCUUGCCAUUUUGAUGGAAUCUGACAUGAAACUAUCAGAUGAACUUCUUGAAGCUAUACUUGAUCGAGUAAGUUCAGACAUUUGCAGAUGCAGAUGCAGACAAGGAUGGCAAGAUCAAUAAGGAAGAGUGGAAAGCCUUCGUUCUUCGAAACCCUACUCUGUUGAAAAAUAUGACUCUUCCUUACCUGAAGGACAUCACCACUGUAUUCCCAAGUUUUAUCUUCAACACUGAGGUUGAAGAGUAAGGUGUUUACCACACAUUAUCUCGCACAUUCGACCAUUUCAGCAGGGUAGAGCUGUGAUGAGAAUCUCAGUUUGAAUUAGGCUUGAGAAGAACUCUAGUCUGACUCGCAUUUUCUGCAGAGUUGCUGGGGACCGGGAUGUGUGUACCCAGAGAUUGAGGUAAAGCAGGCUGUGAUGGCAAGUUAAGAAAGAUAGUUGCUGAUGAAUGGCCGACUGGUAGGGAACAUCUUUUGCCAUUUUCUUGACUUGUCCAGAUGAUUGGCAAAUUGGAGGGGGGCCGACAAAUGUAGCUGCUGCUUCUAUGUCAGAAGCGAAGCAAAGAUUAUUUUUGCAUGUUUUGUUACUGGCAAUCAAGAAGAGAUUCUGGGAGGGGUGGUAGCGAAGGUGAUGUUUGAGCACCGCAGAUUGAAUUUUUUUUUUUUUUUUAAAUAAAAAGUGUUUUGAAGAAAAAUUGGGACUCGGGAGAGAUCACAUUCUUGCUGGGGUUUUAUGUUUUUCACCAAAUUGUCUGUUUUCUAGAUAGGUUUGCUUUUUGUAUCUCACAUUGCAGAGUAGGUUUUCUGCAGCACCUAAAGGCUUCGGUGCACCGUAUGGUGGUGAGGGUCUUAUUAACAAGAACUCGAAACACUUGUUUAGUAUGCUUAAUUUAGAAUGAUUUUUCAGAACA